Camponotus floridanus (Florida carpenter ant) is the source of this 66-nucleotide non-coding RNA. Lineage: Eukaryota; Metazoa; Arthropoda; Insecta; Hymenoptera; Formicidae. The record is from Rfam.
GGCUGAAUAGCUCAGUGGUAAGAGCAGUCGCCCGGCAAGCGAAAGGCUCGAUUCCCGAUUCAGCGA